RNAcentral lists this ribosomal RNA (1972 nucleotides) under human gut metagenome. RNAcentral describes it as "bacterial LSU rRNA". It matches the Rfam family "Bacterial large subunit ribosomal RNA", at positions 1 to 1984 of the family's 2925-position model. The record is from RNAcentral.
UUAAGUGAACAAGGGCAUACGGCGGAUGCCUUGGCGCCAAGAGCCGAUGAAGGACGCGGUAAGCUGCGAAAAGGCAUGGGUAGGAGCAAGCAUCCUGUGAUCCAUGCAUAUCCGAAUGGGGCAACCCACCAUCAGUCAUGUGAUGGUACGAAAGAGGCAGACCUGGGGAACUGAAACAUCUAAGUACCCAGAGGAAAAGUAAUCAAUUGAGAUUCCCUAAGUAGCGGCGAGCGAAAGGGGAAGAGCCCAAACCAUAAAACUUCGGUUUUGUGGGGUUGAGGACCGGCAAAAAGAGGAAACUUCUUAGUCGAAUGGUUUGGAAAGGCCAUGCAUAGAAGGUAAAACACCUGUAGGCGAAAAGAAGUCAAUCGGGCUGGUAUCCAGAGUACUGCGAGACACGUGAAACCUUGCAGGAAGCAGGGGGGACCACCCUCCAAGGCAAAAUACUACUUGGCGACCGAUAGCGCAUAGUACCGUGAGGGAAAGGUGAAAAGAACCCCGGGAGGGGAGUGAAAUAGAACCUGAAACCGUAUGUCUACAAGCAGUCGAAGCACCUUAAGAGUGCGACGGCGUGCCUAUUGAAGAAUGAACCGGCGAGUUACAUUAUGUUGCGAGGUUAAGUGGGAGACACGGAGCCGAAGCGAAAGCGAGUCUUAAUAGGGCGACUAGUAACAUGGUGUAGACCCGAAACCGCAGUGAUCUAUCCAUGGUCAGGUUGAAGCGCAGGUAAAAAUGCGUGGAGGACCGAACCCGUGAGUGUUGAAAAACUUUGGGAUGAACCGUGGAUAGGGGUGAAAUGCCAAUCGAACGCGGAGAUAGCUGGUACUCCCCGAAAUAGCUUUAGGGCUAGCCUCAGGGAAGAUUAUAGACGGUAGAGCACUGAUCUGGCAAGGGGGCGUAAAGCCUACCGACCCUAGUCAAACUUCGAAUGGCUAUAAUUAAGACCCUGGGAGUCAGACUGCGAGUGAUAAGACCCGUAGUCAAGAGGGAAACAGCCCAGACCGCCGACUAAGGUCCCCAAUGCUGUACUAAGUGGAAAAGGAUGUAAGACUUCAUAAACAACCAGGAUGUUGGCUUAGAAGCAGCCACCAUUAAAAGAGUGCGUAAUAGCUCACUGGUCGAGAGGCCUUGCGCCGAAGAUGUCCGGGGCUCAAGUACAGAACCGAAGUCGCGGCAGGAUUAUAUAAUUCUGGGUAGGGGAGCGUUGUAUAUCCGACUGAAGGUGUACCGGAAGGAGCGCUGGAGGAUAUACAAGAGAGAAUGCCGGUAUGAGUAGCGAAAAGAACAGUGAGAAUCUGUUCCACCGAAAGCCUAAGGUUUCCUGAGCAACGCUCGUCGACUCAGGGUAAGUCGGGACCUAAGCCGAGGCAAAAAGCAUAGGCGAUGGACAACAGGUUAAUAUUCCUGUACCGCUUCAAAUCGUUUGAGCAAUGGAGUGACACAGAAGGUAGCUUGAGCACGCGAUUGGAUGUGCGUGUCGAAGGUGGUAGGUUGCAGUAUAGGCAAAUCCGUACUGUAUAAGACCGAGAACUGAUAGAUAGACGAUACUUCGGUAAAGUCAAAUUCAAGUGAGCCAUGCUGUCGAGAAAAGCUUCUAGUGAGAGAUGAGGCGCCCGUACCGAAACCGACACAGGUAGGCGGGGAGAGAAUCCUAAGGUGCGCGGGACAACCCUCGUUAAGGAACUCGGCAAAUUGUAUCCGUAACUUAGGGAUAAGGAUAGCCGGAGGAUGUGAAGGGAUUUACUUCUGGAGCGUCAGCCGGUGGCACAAGAGAGGCCCAAGCGACUGUUUAGCACAAACACAGGUGCCUGCAAAAGAGAAAUCUGACGUAUAGGUGCUGACACCUGCCCGGUGCUGGAAGGUUAAGAGGAGGGCUUAGAGGCAACUCGAAGGCUUGAAUUGAAGCCCCAGUAAACGGCGGCCGUAACUAUAACGGUCCUAAGGUAGCGAAAUUCCUUGUCGGGUAAGUUCC